Non-coding RNA from Paramuricea clavata, 799 nucleotides. NCBI's taxonomy places the organism in Eukaryota, Metazoa, Cnidaria, Anthozoa, Malacalcyonacea, Plexauridae. The record is from the annotation of a GenBank genome assembly.
GCUCUUUGAUGAAUGUCCCAUUUAUAUUUAGACGCAAUGAAACUGUUCUGGCCGUUCGGCCUGUUCUUGUUAACAGUUCGCGCCAAUUACAUUUUAAUGCAUUCUAAUUGGUUAGUCACCCUCGCUGCUGGGGGUGACUCGAAGGUUGUUAUUGUAAGAUUCUUUGUAUUGUUUGGAGGCGAUUCGCAGUCGAUUCUCCUUUUACCACUGUAACACAAAUAAAAUCACUUUAAAACAAAUUUGUGUUGGUUAUACUGCUGAUGAAGGGUCUCACUGAGCGGGGGCCCGAAGUAUCAGAACAGUAAAAGGAGAUAUAAUAAGCGUAAACAUCGCUGCAACGUCGAAAACGACCCAUAUUGAUAUUGUAAACAACGGCCUUGUGAAAGACAGCAUCGCAUUCGUAGUAUGGAUACUAACGCUACAAAUGGCAUGGAAAAUACAGAGGUCGAUCUAGUCGACGAAAGAACCUUAGAUAAACCGACUAAUGCCGAACAAAACGGGGGAAAUGGACAACAUACGGCGUCUGAACAAGUUUUCGAGGAAAAUAUGAACAGUUUGCAUAUAGAAGCCCAAACAGACAAUAUCGACGACAACGCUCAAAGUCUCAACGAAGGAAAUACAGAAAAUACAGACAGUCAAAGCCUUAUAACAAGGCCAAAAAGACAAACAAAGCCUACGCUCAAAUCUGUCCAAAAUCGGAUGCAAACCGAAGAAUUUAAAACGACAAAAUUAUGGGAUAAAGUGCAAAAUGCUAUAACAACAUUACAAACAACGCCAGACUCAAUACCACAAAUACGGU